ACCCUGUAGCUGCUAAGGGGCG
This 22-nucleotide microRNA is filed under the name Spodoptera frugiperda (fall armyworm). Its description in RNAcentral is "sfr-miR-2756-5p". Lineage: Eukaryota; Metazoa; Arthropoda; Insecta; Lepidoptera; Noctuidae. RNAcentral also lists the same sequence under 1 other name. The record is from miRBase by way of RNAcentral.